This is a long non-coding RNA of Leopardus geoffroyi (Geoffroy's cat), 2073 nucleotides long. RefSeq lists it as uncharacterized. NCBI's taxonomy places the organism in Eukaryota, Metazoa, Chordata, Mammalia, Carnivora, Felidae. The transcript has 4 exons. The record is from RefSeq and is a predicted model, not a curated record.
CAGGAUGAGUCUCAGCACUUCCAGCAUUGGGCUACCUACUAAUAUAUGGAUCCUUAAGUAGCAUUGGGCAUCUCCAGUUCCUAGUUCAAAGCCAUCUUUGAAGGCCUCACUCAGGCCACCUCUGCUGAGUGGCUCAGAAAAAAACAAACAAACAACAACAAUGAUUUCUCCCAUCUUUGGGUACUCAUUUCACCAUGUGCAUUUGUCCAAAGAAGGCGACAAAGUAUUUUACAAUAUUUGACGACAGAUUGUGACUUCCCACUUUACUGGCUUCCUUUGCCCACCCUGCAGCAGUAUCUUCUGUGUUCCUUUAACCUGCAAAGUAAUGACGGUGGCUGAUUGCAUUUGAUAAAGAUUUCACCUUUCUGGAGCAAUUCUUUACUAAGAAUUUUAAACUUCGUUAUUAUAAAAACUAGGGAAAACUACAGCUUGGGCAUUUAUUUUUUCCAGGCAAAAUUCAUUUGUCAUGAUGAAGGAUUCCUCAGUUCUAACGACUGAAUAUGUAUAAUAGAUAUACCUGGAGGCUGACUCAGGAUCAGUUCUCCUAAAAGAAGUUCAACUGAGUAGCAUGUAGGAAUCAUAUGCAAAGAAGCUUCUCGAUGCAGGACAGAGCACAGCCUCAGGAAGGUCACACAGGUCAAGCUGAUUACCUCCUCCAGCUCUGGCAAGCAGAGGGCUCAGCUGGGUUACCCAAGUUCACAAGGAGCUAUUGACAUUCAGCUUCAGCUCUCACUCAUUACAGAUCAGCAGGGGACUGUCUGGGCCUUAGGUUAACUCUUCCCUGCCCUCUUUCAAGAUUGCAGUGAGGCUAAAAAUGAAAAGAAGCUGCACGGUAACAUGGACACAGUUUAUUCCUGGUUAUUAUUCAAGAAAUGAACCUUUUCAACCAAUAUCUAAUAAACCUCUUCCAAGGGAAACAACAAUCACCUUUAUCAUUUUGCAAAGUUAAGGACAACAGAUGGCUUAUAAAUGAGGAUUAAAAUUUAAAUGUGAAGAGUUAAUAACAUCAAGAGUGAAUAUCCCAUUGGAUUGCAAAUAGAAUGGGAAAAAUCAAAUAGUGUAAUCAUACCGUUCUCAUUUGACUCUCCAUUAAUAACUUGCAGUAACAAAGUUCUCCUCAAGAAUAUUAACAGCAAUGUCCAAGCAGGAAUUUCUGUGAUCAGAUCUAUGCAAGAAACCAAGGGAAAGAAAUGAAACAGAAAAAGUAGUGUCUGGAAAACAUGGAUAAUUUAUUAUCAUAUUAUGGUGAGAUAAUUAACAAAUUAAAUAUUAGUAAGUCAAAGACAAAAAGAAAAAUGAGUUUUAUUAUCUCUCUGUAUAAGAAGAAAGACUAGCCUGCGUGGCUCAUGGCAGGGGAUACAAGAAGAAUAUGAAGUUAUUGAAGAGGCUGAUGGAAAACUAUCUUUUUGGGAAGGAACAGUGACAAAUUAGGCAACAUAAUCAAAUCAAUGUUGUGAAAAGUACUGUAGAAAUACCCACCGCAUAGGCGUACAUUUUGUAUAUCUGAAAAAAGAAAAGAAGAAAAUUGAAUUUUGUCUAAUCACUGCUUUUAACCUCUAAGGUUGAGUCUGUCGCUCCUAGGUCAUUAGAAAUUCAUUUGUUUUCUGCCAGUGUUCUUGACAUAAAAUCAUGGGAUUCCUAUUGGGUAUUUUCCUUCCCCUGGCAGGAAACUUUUUAUGAUUGCUCCUAGUCAGAAAUGAAAAGGUCCUGUUUGGAACUGUUAGAGAUUGACAUGUAGGUAUGAGGUUGUGACACUGAUCAUGACUCCAAUAUGUGACUUCCCCGUGGUAUGUGUUUGCAGUGUCAGCUUACAUUUUCUCUUCUAUACUUUUCAACUGUAGUCUGACCUGGGCUUUUCCCUAACAGAGGUGACCUCACAGGAGGCUGAUCCAUCUGCCUUCUGGUUUUCCAGAUCAUAAUUAUGCUGUAAUUGAAAUUGUGCUUCAUGGUAACUUGAAGUCAUCAUGUUCCAGACUGCCUGUAACACCUCAGUGUAGAUACAAGCACCAUUAUGCUGAUCUCGGAAAUCUGGCAUUGCCCAUUCAUCCUACAUCUUCAUUUCAGCGGACUCAU